GCCUCCCUCCUGGGGCUGCCCGCUCCCUGCUGGGGUCUGCAGGAGCCCCUGCUGUCUCACCCGACCCCUGGUUCAGGAGCUGGGAGAGGAGGCCCACCCCCUGCAAGAUGCACCCACCCAGACCAUUUGCAUCUCCAUUUCAGGGGUUCUUUCCUGUCCUGGCAGAAUUCAUCCAGGCUCAGUUGCCCUGGAGAUAGUCCCCUUGGGGCACCUGGGGGGAGGACGCUUGCACCCCACCGCACAGAAAAGAAAGGGAGAUGCCAGGGAAGGGCCUGGAGCAGAUCCGGCUGUUCACUCACACAUGGUGCUCAUGACAAAACCAAUCUAUCAUUCAGGGCAGAGCACAAUUCUUCAUGCUCAUCUGCUUGGCAGUUGCCACCCCUCCCAGCCCGGCGCCCGCGGUCAUUUUUUAUCUGCUCUGCUUUAUGGAGCUUCUCAUUUAGAACUGGGCUGUUCCCCCACCCAGCGGGCACCCGCUGCGCACCUAGGUUUCCACAUUUCCUGUCCAGCCCAGCCUGCCAGAGGCUAAGGAGCUCUGGACAGCGCCAGAAGGCCAUAGGAGAUCUGGGGUCUGACCCCAAGCCCAGCUGUCCCCGCGCGCACCAUAGCCUGUGAGGAACGGAGGGCAUGUUAUCCAGCAGGACAGAGCUUGGCCACCCUCUCAUUACCCCCACCAGCCACCAAGAACCCGUUUCCCCUCCUGCAGUGGUCCCUGGUGGAGGCUUUGCCCCUGGGGGCGGAGGGUGGCAGUGUCAUCCCCGCGAAGGAAGACCCUGCUCAGGGGACAGUGGCCGCGGGAGCACCCACUCCUCCCUGCGAUGACGCUGCCUCUGGUGUGACCCAGUUUGCUGCCUUUAUAUUUCAGGAUUGAGCUGACCUCUGACCUCACUUCCCUGUAGCAAGUUCCUUAGGUCCUGAGCCACAAAUAUUCUUGCAAAUCCUUUUGAACCGAAGAAUAAUGAAGUUACCCUUAGCACCCCCUAAAGGCUUUUCCUUUGGCAUCUUUAAGUCUUGAGAGAUAAAUGAAAUACCUAGAGAGCAGCCUGCAUCUCCUGGGUGCAUCUUGCCUGCACCGUGCAGGGAUGCAGACCCUCAGGCAGGACUUUCCCUGGCUGAGGACCCUGGGGCGCCUGUGCUCUGGGUCUGGGGUGUUCCUCCUUGUUUGGGUGGAUUGCUUUGUUAAGCAGAAGGGUUAAAGAGUUUGCUCUCACUCACUGAACUUCAAUUUUUCUUAUUGCUCAGCCCUGCCCACCACACACCCUUCACACCUGAGAUGGCCACAAGGUCAUCACUUUAAAAACAGUGUAGUUGAUUGCAGCCCUCCUUUUUCCUUCCCUGAAGCCAGACCAUGAAAGACUUUGAGGUGUGAUGGACAAAUGGAGCCGAGCUGCCCCUGCUCACCGGUGGGUCAGGGAUGGCCCACUGCCCUCUCACUCUCCGUCUGGCUCAGUUGGGGGGAUGAGAGAUGCUAUAUGGAUGACGGGGCAACAGAGCACCGGGGCCGUCGACAGACCGACUGCCCCUGUGUUCCUUUGGAGGAGGCUUACAUUGGCCUCUUGUUGCUCUGAGGCGUUUCCGCUGACACUCUUACCAGCUCAGCCGCAUCGCCACCUGGACUUUGGCUGAAGCAAUAAUAGCGUUCACUUGAAAUAGAUUUCUCACCAUGCCUUUUCCUAGGAAGUGUCAGAAUGAAACUCAUAAUCAGAUUGGUCCCAGAUUAGUUUCUUGGAAUUUUAUACGUGACAAUAUUUAUACUAUGCCAAACUAGUCUAGUUUUUAGAUGUGUUGGUUAAAACUUUUUUUUAAAGCAAUAAGUUUAUAGAAAAUUUUUUCCGUUUAAUGGAAGGCUGGGAAAUGUACAAUGUCAGCCUCUAAGGCAUGUUAUGUUCCCAGGGGCCUUCUCCCCUGGGUCCAAUACUUUAGGUUUAAGGGCCUGCGGCAGAACAGGCGACGAAGCAGCAGCCACACAGCCGCGUGACGAUAGAUGUCCUCUUGUGAGCACACAUGACCCACACAGCAAUAGCAAUGUCCUUGUCCAGGCUGGGAGCUAUUGAUACAAUAAGCAGGGGACUCCUUCCGGGUUAGUUACCUAAAUCUGUCCUGAACUUCCUGAACCUUGGGCACCAGGCCGCACGUGCUCUUGAUGGCGUGGAUCUGUGUUUUCAGCCUCUGUUCAGCCCAAUAAACUCUGAGUAGAUGAUCAUG
Molecule: non-coding RNA, 2205 nt
Organism: Miniopterus natalensis
Lineage: Eukaryota; Metazoa; Chordata; Mammalia; Chiroptera; Miniopteridae
Source: RefSeq, a predicted model, not a curated record